Small nuclear RNA from Echinops telfairi (small Madagascar hedgehog), 193 nucleotides. Its record names the gene U2. It matches the Rfam family "U2 spliceosomal RNA". Rfam says of the family: U2 is a small nuclear RNA (snRNA) component of the spliceosome (involved in pre-mRNA splicing). Complementary binding between U2 snRNA (in an area lying towards the 5' end but 3' to hairpin I) and the branchpoint sequence (BPS) of the intron results the bulging out of an unpaired adenosine, on the BPS, which initiates a nucleophilic attack at the intronic 5' splice site, thus starting the first of two transesterification reactions that mediate splicing. Lineage: Eukaryota; Metazoa; Chordata; Mammalia; Afrosoricida; Tenrecidae. The record is from Ensembl.
AUUGCUUCUCGGCCUUUUGGUUAAGAUCAAGUGUAGUAUCUGUUCUUAUCAGUUUAAUAUCAGCUACGUCUAUCCGAGGACAAUAUAUUAAAUGGAUUUUUGGAGCAGGGAGAUGGAAUAGGCACUUGCUCCAUCUGCUCCACGCAUCAACCUGGUAUUGCAGUACUGUGCUUCCAGGAGCAGUGCACCCCCU